GGGAGGGUUACUUGCAUUGGGGCAUUCAUUUUCAAAGCCUUUAGUUUUGAGCUCUGGAGCAGUACUUUCUAGGAAAUGGGUCUUAAGCAUUUAGCAUGAGCAAACCUAUGAGUUACUUUUUCAACUACAAGGAUCCUUCAUCACAGAUUCCAAGUUAUCAUUACAAAGGCUCUCAAUCUUUCACAGAUUCUAAGGAUGAAGAUGGUGAACGAGGAGGGUGAUGGCGAUGUGUUAACAGAAAGGCUCGCUCAAUUUGCUGCUAUGUUCUUUGUUGCUGUAAUUUUCAAUUUGUUAACAUUUUUUUUUUGUUUGUUACUUAUAAAAGGGAAGUGGAAUGUUGUUCUGGUGAAGUUGUUGUCGGGUUAGUAAUGGCAGUGGUAAGGUGGUGGCAGCGUUAGAAAGUGAGGUGGUUGGCAAUCGGAUGUUGGGUGUAGGGAGAUGGACUAGCGCAAUUGAUGCGCUAAACAUGCAUUACCAAUAUGAUUUUUUCUUUGCAUGCUGUAAUUUAUCUUUUUUUUUGGUUUUUAUAAUAAUAUAACACAAUUACUUGUAUUAGGAUGA
RNAcentral lists this long non-coding RNA (561 nucleotides) under Gossypium raimondii (Peruvian cotton). RNAcentral describes it as "long non-coding RNA (GRAI_LNC005406)". The record is from RNAcentral. Lineage: Eukaryota; Viridiplantae; Streptophyta; Magnoliopsida; Malvales; Malvaceae.